Eriocheir sinensis (Chinese mitten crab) is the source of this 3998-nucleotide long non-coding RNA. RefSeq lists it as uncharacterized. The record is from RefSeq and is a predicted model, not a curated record. The transcript has 2 exons. Lineage: Eukaryota; Metazoa; Arthropoda; Malacostraca; Decapoda; Varunidae.
GACUAACCCGUUGCUGUGUAGGCGUAUCCUUAACCAUGAUCUGCAGUUCUUGGGAGGGACUGCAUAGAACCUACAUUAGCCUGCAGAGCGCUUUAAGUAAGGUUUGUCCAUUGGGUGAGUUUAGAGUUUGUCUCCCCUAUAAGCUAAUGUUAUGCCGUUUUCUUCGAUAAUACAUAGAAAAUGGAUAGUGUAGUAGAGACUAAUGUGAUUCCCGUCAAGCACUGAUUUAUUUCUAUACUUAUUUUUUUGAGAAGAGGAGGAGGACAAGAAUGAAGAGGAAUACGACGAAGAGGAGGAUGAUGAGAGGGAUAAAAGAAUAGUGGCAAUGAUUACGAUGAUAGAGGAAAACAAUAAGGAAGACAUAAAGAAAAUGGAAGAAGACAAGGAGUUGAGUGACAAAACAAUUGGAAGAAAAGGAAUAUAAGGAGAAGGAAGGGGAGGCGAAGAGGAGGAGAAAGAAGACAACAAUAAGGAGGAGGAAGACGAGGAGGAGGAUGAGUGGGACAAAAUAGAGGGAGGAAGAUAAGUGGAACAAAACAACGGGAGGAGGAAGAUGAGCAGAGAGAGGAGUAAGAAGAUAAGAAUAAGGAGGAGAGAGUGGAGGAGGAAAGGGAGAGGGAGAAAACAGGAGGAGGAGGAGGAUAUCAGGUUUACUUUAGCUUUCAAACGACGGUGCACUACGAAUGACCUUUAGUAAGUUAGGAAGCUGUUCAUAUAAUUAAUUGUAGCUCAUCAUCGUCAUCAUCAUCUCCCUAUAUCAUUUCACUGAAGGGUAUAGGUCCCUAACAACUCUUUUAUCGUUCGCGUCUGUCCUAUGACUAAUAUAACUUGUUCUCUGACUCACAAACUAAUUCUCAGCAGGUUAUUUACUUCCGAGAUUUCCUGAUCAUAUACAGACAUUGGUACAGACAGACAAACAGACAGACGUAUAGAUUAACAUACACAUAUACAGACAGAUAGACAGGCAUAUAAACACGAAUAAUUAUAUAGAGAAACAAAUAUAAUAAUAGAAAGACAAACAGGCAGACAGACAGGCAUAUAGUGAGGCGGAGAAACAGACACACACAAAAUGAAAUAAAUAAGAAAGCCCGAUAGACAGACAGACGGGAAGAUAAGUAACAGACAGACAGACAGAUGAACUUGACCUUGAAGAAGAUUACAUUAACAAACAUCACACCAGGAAGUUAAAAAAAAAAUCAUAGAUAUUUUUAUAUAAAUCCAUAAAAAACAAUCACACCCAAACACUAAAACAGACAAACAAACAAACAGUCAACGAGCAUGCAAAUAAACAAGACAAACGGAAGCAGAAAUGCCCCAAUGACAUGGCGGUGAUAGUGUAACGGGCUUGUCGGGGGGCGUUUAAAGGGUGUUGAUUAAGACUUCAGCUUCCUUAAGGCGAAUUAUAUUCGUAGCCUUUAUGUACAAGAAGCGUCGGAGCGAGAGCGAUUGUCGUUGUGUGUCAGUCGGACUCCCGUGAAAGAGUGACGAGUUACAGGUUGGAAAAUAAUUGUUACAAUUGGUCACGUAUGUCAAGGUGACCUCCGCGCACCAUCGGAGUGCGAAGUAUACAAAACUGAGACGAUAAACACUGACGGACGACAUUCCUAUAAGGUGGCGUGAUCUAUCUGUCGUGGGUUUUUCCAUUGACAAUUGUAUGCCUAAUUCGUGGUGAUAUUAAAUAAUAAUAAUACAUUGAUAUCCUACUAUAACAAUAGAAAUAGCCACAUGCAUAAAUUCAGUGCUAAGUUGAUAAAUGUACGAGGAUUGAAUAUGAAUAAGCUGACGGAAUUAGGACACUUACUAUCUAUAUCAGACCCUGUGACAUACCGUUUUUCGCAAAUAUGUUUCAAACGAAGACUCGGAUCAGCAUGGUGCUUUGGCACAGAUGGACAUGAAGGGUUCCUAGGAACGGAAAAAACCCUUCCACAGCAAUGGAAAACUGAUACUAGAUUGGGUGGAGAAAUAUAACUUCAUACUGUUAAAUGAUACUUUAGAAUGUGAAGGCACAUAUACUUGGACAGACAGAGAAAGGAGAAGCAUCAUAGACUAUGUAUUGAUAAACACAAAGCUAUACGAGAAAUUCGUCAACAUGCAUAUUGAUGAAACCAAAGAAAUAUUUGACCUAUCAAACCACAACCUAAUAACAGUAAACUAAGCUGAAAACUAAUAUAUACUGGCAAUAUUUUCAACGAAAGUAAAUGGAAAACAAGGGACUUUUAAAAUUGACCCCAUAUCACGGACAAAUUUUAUAAAUGCUCUAGAAAAUCAAAUAAAAGACAGCAAUGUGAAUGACAUUGUAGAAAUGGAUAAAGUUAUCCUAGAAAUUGCAAACCAAACAUUGAAAGGACAGUUAAGAGUAAGAACCAUUGAUACGGACAAACACAUACAGUCCGACUUCACAAAAGGCAACAGAAUUGAGGACAACUUAUUUGUCAUGAACUAAUGCAUCCUCAGCAGCUUCAGAAAAAAGUCACUCAUAGUAACACCCAAUGAUUUUAAAAAGGCAUUCGACUCUGCCAAAAAAAAAUGGUAGCAAAAUCAUACACAGGUGACAAGACCAUCCAGUAACUAAAUAAAGACAUGCAAAAAGAGAUCAACAUUACCCCGCCCAUCAAACAAGGCUGCACGGUAUCCACCACACUCUUCAAACUGGCCACAUACAUCAUCAUCAACGAACUCAAUACACCCUGCACAGGCUUUAAAGACGAGCAUUUCACAAUACAAACUUUAUUUUAUGCAGAUGACGGGAUGAGUCUAUCACAAUCAGUUGAUGAUGCUAAAUAAUGUAUAGGGUACAUAUCAUCUUAAGACAAGAGUAUGGCCUGGAAAUAAAUCUAGCUAAGAGUAACAUCAUAAUAUUUAACAUGAAAGAAAAGCAGAGUCAGAUUGAGGGAAUUAGAGUUGUAAAAGAAAUAAAGUAUUUAGGAGUCACUGCUAACGACAAUAUAAAUUGUUUCAAGACACACAUAACAAACAUUACCAGGAAGGCACAGACACUAGCCAAUCAAGUCUCCUCAAUCAUCAGCAAAAGUUGUAACAAAAUUAUUAUCGGGAAGACAUUUUGGAAGAGCGUAGCCUUGUAUGGCCUGGACGUGGUAUACUUAAACAAAGCAGAGACCCGAAACUUCCAAAAAAUAGAAAAUCGUGUGUAAAAGAUGUUAUUAGGAGCACCCAUCUUACACCCCAGUGGGCGUGCUGAGCGAGGCGACGCUGAUGAAAGGAAAACUAACCUACUUAAAAUACAUCCUCAGCAAGCAAGACACACUGGUGGGAAACACAUGAAGAGUGUUACAAGAAACUAUAAGGGAGAGAAGUGGGUGAAGGACAUUCAGGAUAAAACUAAAAAAAAUUGGCCUAAAUAACUAUAACAUAGACAAUAAAAAUUAUCAAAUAAAGAAGUGAAUUCUAGACUGGGACACACAAAACUGGAAAAGCAAUCAACAGGACAAAAAGAGUGUGCACCUGUAUGUGAUAUAUAAGACAAAUAAAAGAAUCACACCUGUAUGAUAAUAAACAGCCACCAGUGAUACACUACAGCUUAAUUCCAGAAAAAGGUUUACUGGAACAAUACAAAGUGCAUAUGGUGCAGUGAGGCUUGUGAAAUUUAUAAUAUUUUAUUCUUUAUUGUCCUCUAUACAGUGAGAUCAGGGAAAAAGUCAAGCUCUGUUCCAACAACCAAACAAAGAAAACUGGACUGCUGAACUGCUAUUAGAAGACCACAUUGACAAAGAAGAAGUAAAACAGUCUCUGUACGAGUGCUGGAAAAGAAAAGUGAAGAGCAACGGAUUACAACCACCCAGAAAUAGACAACAGGAAGCAAAGGCUUUCAACUGUUUAGGCCUUCAACUGAACUGAGCUGAGGAGUGAGGAGGGCCAAAGAAGUGUGUGUGUGUGUGUGUGUGUGUGUGUGUGUGUGUGUGUGUGUGUGUGUGUGUGUGUGUGUGUCUGUGUGUGUGUGUGUGUGUGUGUGUGAGUGUGUGUGUGUGUGUGUGUGUCUA